Non-coding RNA from Caenorhabditis elegans, 88 nucleotides. Lineage: Eukaryota; Metazoa; Nematoda; Chromadorea; Rhabditida; Rhabditidae. The record is from Ensembl.
AAGCCUAAGCCUAAGCCUAAGCCUAAGCCUAAGCCUAAGCCUAAGCCUAAGCCUAAGCCUAAGCCUAAGCCUAAGCCUAAGCCCAAGC